CCCAAAACCACACGGGGUGAGAACUAUAUAAAUAUAGUUCCCAGUGGGUUCGGCCGCCGACUCCGCCGAUCUUCCCACUAGGUCCAACCUGGCACAGAUAGAUAGAUAGGAAGAUAUAUGGAAAUACUACUACUAUAUCUAUUAUGCCAUCAAAUGCAAAGUAUGCAUGGAACAUCAUCUAGCAACAAUCUACUAUCAUGCUAAUAUGCCUCAACAGUGAAAUAAAUACAACAACAACAUAGUUAUGCAAUGCACUAUGUCUAAUCAAGGUAUGAAUGCAAUACUCUUAUGCUAUUCAUGUUAUUACCCAAUCCGCUAGGCUAACUUGCCUAAGAUCUCAAAUCUAGUAGGUGAAGAGCUACCUCACUCUUGUCUCACUCGACUCAUAUCUCAAAGGUCUGACCCAAUCUCGUGAGUCCCAGGCAAAGAGCUACCCCGCCCCUCGCCCGACUCACAUCUCAAGGUCCUAGACAAAGGCUACCCCGCACUUUGCCCGACUCACAUCUCGACCUACUAAGUACAGGGCUACUCCACUCAAAUCUCAUAGGUGAACAACAGCAACAACUAUGAAAGCAAGCUAUCAUGAACAACAAUAAUGAGUAUGACUCAAUAGGUACUCAAAUCUCAUAGGUGAAGGAAUAGUAUAUCAUGAAGGCAUGAGCAAUAAGUAAGCUACUAUGAACACUAGUAAGCUACUAUGAACAACAACAACAACUAUGGAAGCAAGCUAUCAUGAACAACAAUAAUGAGUAUGACUCAAUAGGUAACCAAAUCUCGUGGUGAACACAAGGUUCACAAGCAAGGCUCACAUAUCAAUCUCCUAGAGAUGCCUAGCUGGUCGAUCCCCGAGUACGCCUGCGGAUAACAAGCGGCUAUCCGAGCAGCAAGCAGGGCUGCCUCUCUAGUGACCAAACUCCGGAGCGCACAACCUGAGGGGAGCGACCCCACCAAGCGCAGACAGGCAAUGUGAGCGUGAUCAUCUCACGAGCAACAGCAACCUACCCUCUAAGGGUAAUCUCAUCAUGGAAUCAAGGUGUUCUUGUACCCAAUCUCAUAGUGUUUCAACUACACUAAGGUUCUCAUGUCAAGGUUAUCAACAAUCAUAUGCCACUCAUCAUAGUUUUCUAAACUAGAUGCCACUCGACAUUUAGACUCAUUUCAACACUAGUUACAUCAUACUAGUUCUUUAGCAACAUAAGCAUUAAUCACCUCACAUAGGGUCUAGGUCUUUAUCAUAAAGUUUUCAUCAUAUAAUCAUCAUGCAUACUAGAUCAUGGAUCAAUCAUCAAGAUGUAUAGCUACUAGCAUGCAAAUAUGAGCAAUGACCACAAUCAUUUAGCAUCUAAAUGCAAUAAAUACGAUAUGCAACUUGAUCGAUUAAUGUACUCAACUAAGGUUUAAUCUACAUUAAUCAUGCCCUUAUAGGGUUUCACCACACUAAGUCCCAAUCUCAUGCAUACUAGGUACAAGUAUUAAUCAAGUAACACUACAUCUCUCAUAGAUGCCAUGACAUUAACAAUUGCCAACUAGUACCUAUAAUGCAAUAUCCCAAUAUGCAACUUGAUCAAUGUUAACUAGAGUUUUCUAGUACAACAACAAAAUCCAUUACUAGUUCAAGUCAUAUGUGUUUUUAGCACAAUAAGUUCAAUUGCCAUUGUAAACUAAUGUCUUUAAACACAUACACUAUGUCUAUUCUCUUCAUUUAGCAUCAUAGUUUACCAAUUGUCAUUUAUAAUCCUUAUGUCCAUUACAUCAUAAUAUCCAUAUCAUAGUACUAUAUUGAUCAUAAAAUAUCAUAUAAGGAUUAGGAAUGCAUGUAUUGUCAUUCUAUAAUGCAUAGCAACAUACAAUAUGCUACAUGUGAACGGAUAAGCACUAAGACAUAGAAGAAGCCGAUGACUUCGGGAUGGCACUCCCCACCUUUUACAGCGUUCGAUUGCUUGUCGUCACGUGCAAUCGGCCUCCCGCGGCGCACGCCGUCGGGUCUCGACCCAAUCCGCGCGCGACCACCAAACGACUCUCCGAUCCGUAAUCCGAAAUAUAAAGGUCUUCGGUUUCUUGUACGAUGCUCAAAUCCGUUUUCGGAGAUUUUACGACGUCCGCCGUGCGCCUCCAGGCGGAAACGAAGCUAACGUCCGUUUCUUUAAUAACUUUGUACCGGCUCGACGAAUCGCCGAACCGUCGCUUCCAACGCGUUCUAGACCUAACAUAUAGGUAAACAGAGGUUAAAAGAGAUCAAACCCACAUACUUUGAAAUUUAGCAAUUUUGAGCCUAGGUUUAUAACUAUGCAAGAAAUCAUUAAAUUGCUCUAUGAUUCAAGCAUACGCAUCUAUUAGGCAUCAAUGGGUUCCAACUAAAAUCAUUUCCAAAGCAUUUAGACCUAUCUUUAGAGAUCUACCAUUAAAGCCCUCAUUUUGAGAGGCUCUAGGUUUCAAUAGGUAAAAAUCCACGAUUAGAACUUAGGAUCUAAGCAUAAAUCAUCAUACUUAGCAUCUAGGAAAGCUACUAAUAUCAUUUCUAGAGCUUAAAACCCAAGCAAUAGAGAAAUGCUCAUUAAAGCUCUUAAAGCUUACCUUCAAGCAUGCUCCAAUGAGAGGAAGAAGAUGAAAUUGAUGAAGAUCAACUCCAACUUACUUCUCCACAAUCCAUUCCAUUUGGGAGAGAUUUAGAGAGAGAAAAUGGAGGCUUCUCUUUCUCCCUCUUUCCAUGCGUGUGUUGUGUGGCGUGUGCGUGUGUGGUGUGCGGCCGAAGGAGAUGAAGAAGCAUCAAGUCUCUUAAUAAUACCACCUCAAUAUCAUCUAGGCAACUAAAAAUUGAUAACUUCUCGCCGGAGCUCCCUGAAUGUCGUUUGACGCUCAAACUGACAGUCAUGUUCGGUGUUUACUUAGCAACUUAAACAGCUGACGAUCACUGUUUCAGUUUCGACCUCGUUGUGUCACUGAAAACUGUACGAACUGCAAUCUUUAUCAGAUAGCUUUCGGAUUUUAUUUCUCACUCAACGGUGUCGAAAAUAUGAAACCUUAAAAUCUAGCCUCAUAAAAAUAUUUCUGACUUCUCUCUGCCAAUUUUCAUAAUUUUCUGAGACUGUGCAUUUUCUGCUAUUUAUCUGCCCCUUUCCAACAGAAAAUUCUAAAUCUUCUGUUUUAAUUCCGAUUUCAGCACAGGUCAUUCCCACUUAUAUUUCACUUCUCUAAUUCAAUAAAAAUAGUAAUCUCAAACUAUUUUUAUUUAUUUCUAUUUUUAUAUUUAAAUCCGGUAUAUUACAUUACACCGCAACCUUACCGGAACCAUUCAAAUGGCUCUCCAACCAAAUGGACACCGUAACCUCAUGAUUUUAGAAGUCCGGUACCUUACAGUAGGUCUCGCUCAUUUGGUAAAAUAAUCCACUGCCACUAUCAGAAAUUUGUGUCCAGCCGAAGAGUUCGACUAAAUUUCUCCAAUUAAAUCCAUGGCCCACUCUCGAAAAGGCCAAGGUUUGAUAAUUGCAUACAUUUCAGAAGCUGGAACUCUCUGUAUAGAGCUAUGGAAUUGACAGUCCUGGCACCCCCUAGCAUAUUUUAUACAAUCUUCAUACAUAGUUGGCCAAUAAUAACCUUAGUGCCGAAUGGUUCACCUUAAUCUCUUCCUAGCUAAAUGUGCUCCACAUAAGCCUUCAUAGACUUCGCCCAUGACUAAUAAGUCUUCCUCAGGUCCUAGGCA
This 3700-nucleotide long non-coding RNA is filed under the name Ananas comosus (pineapple). Its description in RNAcentral is "long non-coding RNA (ACOM_LNC028082)". Lineage: Eukaryota; Viridiplantae; Streptophyta; Magnoliopsida; Poales; Bromeliaceae. The record is from RNAcentral.